This 263-nucleotide ribosomal RNA is filed under the name uncultured bacterium. Its description in RNAcentral is "partial 16S ribosomal RNA". It matches the Rfam family "Bacterial small subunit ribosomal RNA", at positions 506 to 766 of the family's 1533-position model. The record is from RNAcentral.
UGCCAGCAGCCGCGGUAAGACGAGCUCUCCAAACGUUAUUCGGUAUCACUGGGCUUAAAGAGUUCGUAGGCGGCUUUGUAGGUGGGGUGUGAAAGCCCUCGGCUCAACCGAGGAACUGCGCCCCAAACCACAGGGCUUGAGGGAGAUAGGGGUAAUGCGGAACAGAUGGUGGAGCGGUGAAAUGCAUUGAUAUCAUCUGGAACACCGGUGGCUGAAGGCGGCUUACUGGAUCUUUUCUGACGCUGAGGAACGAAAGCUAGGGU